Molecule: long non-coding RNA, 218 nt
Filed under: Elaeis guineensis (African oil palm)
Lineage: Eukaryota; Viridiplantae; Streptophyta; Magnoliopsida; Arecales; Arecaceae
Description: long non-coding RNA (EGUI_LNC011646)
Source: RNAcentral
GAGAAUCCUUAUGAGUAGGCUGCUAGUUGGCAUCCACAUCCUUUUGUUGUUUUUCAUGUGUAGGAAUCUUAAUCUAAGUUGUAUUUGUUGAUCUAAAUAAAUAUAUUUUAAUUUAUAGAUGACUAGAUCGUUUUCAUAUAAUGAGUAUCUUGGGUUUGAGAUGCAUAUGAUCAGCUAUAGCGGAGAAGUGGUAAUUUAUUCGAGUCAUCUUGGGGAGG